RNAcentral lists this non-coding RNA (58 nucleotides) under Altererythrobacter sp. Root672. RNAcentral describes it as "nhaA-I RNA". It matches the Rfam family "nhaA-I RNA". Rfam says of the family: Acidobacteria, Alphaproteobacteria, Betaproteobacteria and Gammaproteobacteria, Verrucomicrobia, cand. division NC10. The record is from Rfam by way of RNAcentral. Lineage: Bacteria; Pseudomonadati; Pseudomonadota; Alphaproteobacteria; Sphingomonadales; Erythrobacteraceae. RNAcentral also lists the same sequence under 1 other name.
GGGUGUUCGCCUUACGAGCUUGGCGGGCAGGGUUCCAGCGCUGGUCGGGCCGCCAGCG